This 253-nucleotide ribosomal RNA is filed under the name uncultured prokaryote. RNAcentral's name for it is "partial 16S ribosomal RNA". It matches the Rfam family "Bacterial small subunit ribosomal RNA", at positions 524 to 776 of the family's 1533-position model. The record is from RNAcentral.
GACGGGGGAUCCUAGCGUUGUUCGGAAUCAUUGGGCGUAAAGCGGGUGCAGGUGGCUAUGUAAGUCAGGUGUGAAAGCCUGGGGCUCAACCCCAGAAGUGCAUUUGAUACUGCGUAGCUUGAGUGCUAGAGAGGAUAGUAGAAUUCUUGGUGUAGUGGUGAAAUACGUAGAUAUCAAGAGGAAUACCGGUGGCGAAGGCGGCUAUCUGGCUAGACGCUGACACUCAGACCCGAAAGUGCGGGGAUCAAACAGG